UGGGGAAUUUUGGACAAUGGGCGAAAGCCUGAUCCAGCAAUGCCGCGUGUGUGAAGAAGGCCUUCGGGUUGUAAAGCACUUUUGUCCGGAAAGAAAUCCUUGGCUCUAAUACAGUCGGGGGAUGACGGUACCGGAAGAAUAAGCACCGGCUAACUACGUGCCAGCAGCCGCGGUAAUACGUAGGGUGCAAGCGUUAAUCGGAAUUACUGGGCGUAAAGCGUGCGCAGGCGGUUUGCUAAGACCGAUGUGAAAUCCCCGGGCUCAACCUGGGAACUGCAUUGGUGACUGGCAGGCUAGAGUAUGGCAGAGGGGGGUAGAAUUCCACGUGUAGCAGUGAAAUGCGUAGAGAUGUGGAGGAAUACCGAUGGCGAAGGCAGCCCCCUGGGCCAAUACUGACGCUCAUGCACGAAAAGCGUGGGGAGCAAACAGGAUUAGAUACCCUGGUAGUCCACGCCCUAAAACGAUGUCAACUAGUUGUUGGGGAUUCAUUUCCUUAGUAACGUAGCUAACGCGUGAAGUUGACCGCCUGGGGAGUACGGUCGCAAGAUUAAAACUCAAAU
This 560-nucleotide ribosomal RNA is filed under the name uncultured bacterium. Its description in RNAcentral is "partial 16S ribosomal RNA". It matches the Rfam family "Bacterial small subunit ribosomal RNA", at positions 355 to 906 of the family's 1533-position model. The record is from RNAcentral.